Molecule: transfer RNA, 71 nt
Filed under: Leptagonus decagonus (Atlantic poacher)
Lineage: Eukaryota; Metazoa; Chordata; Actinopteri; Perciformes; Agonidae
Description: tRNA-Thr
Rfam family: tRNA
About the family: Transfer RNA (tRNA) molecules are approximately 80 nucleotides in length. Their secondary structure includes four short double-helical elements and three loops (D, anti-codon, and T loops).
Source: RNAcentral
GCAGUUGUAGCCCAAGCCAGAGCACCAGUUUCCAUAACUGAUCGCCGGAGGUUAGAACCCUCCCUACUGUA